Long non-coding RNA from Coffea arabica (coffee), 1397 nucleotides. RefSeq lists it as uncharacterized. The record is from RefSeq and is a predicted model, not a curated record. Lineage: Eukaryota; Viridiplantae; Streptophyta; Magnoliopsida; Gentianales; Rubiaceae.
GGGAAGCAGAGGAAUUGGACAAAAGAAUUUGGGUUUUGCAGAAGAGGCCCCUAACUCCUCCCACUCCUCUCUCUCUCGGUUGGAGCUCUCAACCGAAAAAGAAAAAACAACUCUCCCUCUGAAUUCUCUCGACUGGCUCAAUGGAUCAAAAAAAAAAGGCGAAGCAAAGAAGAAAAAUUGCUCCAGAGGUCCCUGGCUCCUCUCGGUCUCCACUCUCUCAACUCUCUCAAUUCUCUCGGCUGGUUCAACGGGCAAAGGAGAAGAAAAAUUGCUCCAGAGGUCCUCGAGAGCUCUCAACAGACAGAAAGAAAAGAAAAGCAAGAGGGAAGAAGAAAAUUUUGCAGAGAGGCCCUCACUCUCUCAACUCUCUCGACUUCCGGGCGGCAGGAGUAGAAAGGGAAGAAAAAAAAUAUCUCUUGGCUCUCCCUCUCAUUUUUUUUUAGCAAAUAAAACACUCACUCUCAGGUUUUCUCUUGGACAGGGCAAGGCCAAUAAAAACGGUUGAAAGCUCAUAAUUUCAUCAAAUUUUAGUCAAGAGACUAAAAUCUUCAUUGAGGUCUGUGGACUUAGAGCAAAAAGAAGAUCAAAAAAGGUGAAAAGUGUUGAGAAAGAUGUCGGACGCACAAAAGGAGAGUAUCGGACGUCCAACAUCCAUUGAGUAACUUCGGACGUAUGAAGAACUCAGACUCGGACGUCCGAAGAAGACAAGCCAGGGCUUCUACGAUUAUUGAUCACGAUCGGACGCUCAACACUUGAGUAUCGGACGUCCGACAAGCGUUGCUGCACUUCGGACACAACACAUUGGAUGCAUCGGCCGUCCGAAGGAAUUGAAAAGGAACCUCCAAAUCUGCAUCUUACCCUCGGACGCAUGGUGAUAGGGGAUCGGACGUCCUAAGAGGUUCAAGAAGAUUUCUCUAAUUCAUUGACCUCGUUCGGACGCAUAAAAACUGAAUAUCGGCCGUCCGACAGCACCAAUGGCUAGUUGACUCUUCAGUUGCCUUCUAUCCGUUAACAGCAUUAAUUGAAGAAUUUCUUGGUCUCCUAUAAAAGAAAAAAAGUCAACCACCUCAGAGCAACUUUGCACAUCCAGUCUACAUCAAAUAGUGAGUGAUUCAAGUGAUUGAAUACUCAAAAAGGGAUUAUUUGUAUUCUCAGCUUGUGCAAUUUCCUUGUAGCUUUUCAAGUGUGACAUAGCUUCUUCAAUAGUGUAGCUUUGUGAGGGUUAUCAGAGUGUUUGUAAAACUUCCUUGCUUGACCAAGUGUGGUUUGGGGCAAGAAGAAAGUGAUCCUUCCAUUGUACACAGAAAUUGGUUGCAAGUUUGUUCAACUUGAAGUAGCUUAUUAUAUAAAGUAUUGUUCAAACUCAAGUUGAGUUUGAAACCUGGUUUGUCUCUUUA